This is a non-coding RNA of Sus scrofa (pig), 349 nucleotides long. The record is from RefSeq and is a predicted model, not a curated record. Lineage: Eukaryota; Metazoa; Chordata; Mammalia; Artiodactyla; Suidae.
ACAGCUCAUGGCAACGCUGGAUCCUUAACCCACUGAGCGAGCAUCGUUGCCACUUGACUGCACCAUGCACGUCUUUGUUGUCUGUCUCAUCACCUGGAUGGCAUACUCCACAGAUGGCAGACCUGUGUGCAGUUUUGUUUUCUGCUGUCUCUCCUGUGCCUACAUCAGUGUUGGACACAUAGCAGGUCAUCAAUAACCAGGAGCACGCAGGAGGAGGACCUUCUUUGCUUCUCUGCCCCUGUUCUCCUUUAAAAAGAAUCACAAAAUUAACAUAAGAUACAGGCGACUAGGUGAUCUAAUCCAUCCUUUCAUAGAUCAAAGGAUAACUGGUUUAUCACAAGAGGGAGAG